This 253-nucleotide ribosomal RNA is filed under the name uncultured bacterium. Its description in RNAcentral is "partial 16S ribosomal RNA". It matches the Rfam family "Bacterial small subunit ribosomal RNA", at positions 524 to 776 of the family's 1533-position model. The record is from RNAcentral.
UACAGAGGUCCCAAGCGUUGUUCGGAUUCACUGGGCGUAAAGGGUGCGUAGGUGGCGGGGUAAGUUUGAUGUGAAAUCUCCGGGCUUAACCCGGAAACUGCAUUGAAUACUAUCCCGCUCGAGGGUUGGAGGGGGGACUGGAAUACUUGGUGUAGCAGUGAAAUGCGUAGAUAUCAAGUGGAACACCAGUGGCGAAGGCGAGUCCCUGGACAACUCCUGACACUGAGGCACGAAAGCUAGGGGAGCAAACAGG